AUUUAAAUAGUUUAAUAAAAAUAUUGAUUUGUGGUGUCAAUGAUAUACUUUGUAUUUUAAAUA
RNAcentral lists this transfer RNA (63 nucleotides) under Asymmetricata circumdata. Its description in RNAcentral is "tRNA-His". The record is from RNAcentral. Lineage: Eukaryota; Metazoa; Arthropoda; Insecta; Coleoptera; Lampyridae.